RNAcentral lists this ribosomal RNA (468 nucleotides) under uncultured bacterium. RNAcentral describes it as "partial 16S ribosomal RNA". It matches the Rfam family "Bacterial small subunit ribosomal RNA", at positions 28 to 507 of the family's 1533-position model. The record is from RNAcentral.
GACGAACGCUGGCGGCGUGCUUAACACAUGCAAGUCGAACGGAAAGGCCCUGCUUUUGUGGGGUGCUCGAGUGGCGAACGGGUGAGUAACACGUGAGUAACCUGCCCUUGACUUUGGGAUAACUUCAGGAAACUGGGGCUCAUACCGGGUAGGAGCUCCUGCUGCAUGGUGGGGGUUGGAAAGUUUCGGCGGUUGGGGAUGGACUCGCGGCUUAUCAGCUUGUUGGUGGGGUAGUGGCUUACCAAGGCUUUGACGGGUAGCCGGCCUGAGAGGGUGACCGGCCACAUUGGGACUGAGAUACGGCCCAGACUGCUACGGGAGGCAGCAGUGGGGAAUAUUGCAGAAUGGGCGGAAGCCUGAUGCAGCAACGCCGCGUGCGGGAUGACGGGCUUCGGGUUGUAAACCGAUUUCGCCGGUGACGAAGCGUGAGUGACGGUAAUGGGUAAAGAAGCAACGGCUAACUACGUG